GACUAACGCUGGCGGCGUGCCUAACACAUGCAAGUCGAACGAGAGUAGCAAUACUCUAGUGGCAGACGGGUGAGUAACACGUGGUCAACCUACCUCUAUGUGGGGGAUAACUAGCCGAAAGGUUAGCUAAUACCGCAUACGAUCGUCGAGCGGCAUCGCUUGACGAUGAAAGGAGCAAUCCGCAGAGAGACGGGACCGCGUCCCAUUAGCUAGUUGGUGGGGUAAAGGCCUACCAAGGCGACGAUGGGUAGCUGGCUUGAGAGAGCGACC
This 270-nucleotide ribosomal RNA is filed under the name uncultured bacterium. RNAcentral's name for it is "partial 16S ribosomal RNA". It matches the Rfam family "Bacterial small subunit ribosomal RNA", at positions 28 to 305 of the family's 1533-position model. The record is from RNAcentral.